RNAcentral lists this ribosomal RNA (411 nucleotides) under Ureibacillus terrenus. RNAcentral's name for it is "bacterial SSU rRNA". It matches the Rfam family "Bacterial small subunit ribosomal RNA", at positions 505 to 916 of the family's 1533-position model. The record is from RNAcentral. Lineage: Bacteria; Bacillati; Bacillota; Bacilli; Caryophanales; Caryophanaceae.
GUGCCAGCAGCCGCGGUAAUACGUAGGUGGCGAGCGUUGUCCGGAAUUAUUGGGCGUAAAGCGCGCGCAGGCGGCUCUCUUAAGUCUGAUGUGAAAGCCCCCGGCUCAACCGGGGAGGGUCAUUGGAAACUGGGAGACUUGAGUGCAGGAGAGGGAAGCGGAAUUCCAUGUGUAGCGGUGAAAUGCGUAGAGAUAUGGAGGAACACCAGUGGCGAAGGCGGCUUCCUGGCCUGUAACUGACGCUGAGGCGCGAAAGCGUGGGGAGCAAACAGGAUUAGAUACCCUGGUAGUCCACGCCGUAAACGAUGAGUGCUAGGUGUUAGGGGGCUUGCCCCUUAGUGCUGCAGCUAACGCAUUAAGCACUCCGCCUGGGGAGUACGGUCGCAAGCUGAAACUCAAAGGAAUUGACGG